This 566-nucleotide ribosomal RNA is filed under the name Amblyglyphidodon curacao (staghorn damselfish). RNAcentral describes it as "partial 16S ribosomal RNA". It matches the Rfam family "Bacterial large subunit ribosomal RNA", at positions 1797 to 2562 of the family's 2925-position model. The record is from RNAcentral. Lineage: Eukaryota; Metazoa; Chordata; Actinopteri; Pomacentridae.
CGCCUGUUUAUCAAAAACCAUCGCCUCUUGAAACAACAAUAUAAGAGGUCCUGCCUGCCCAGUGACCACAUGUUCAACGGCCGCGGUACUUUGACCGUGCGAAGGUAGCGCAAUCACUUGUCUUUUAAAUGGAGACCUGUAUGAAUGGCACGACGAGGGCUUAACUGUCUCCUUUUUCCAGUCAAUGAAAUUGAUCUUCCCGUGCAGAAGCGGGAAUAAAACCAUAAGACGAGAAGACCCUGUGGAGCUUUAGACGCUAAAUCAGCCUUGUCCAAAACCCUAUCUUAAAAGACUGAACGCCAAAGGAGACCUGAUCUGAUGUCUUCGGUUGGGGCGACCUCGGGGAAAAGAAAAACCCCCGCGCGGAAUAGGAAUACUAUAUUCCCAAAACUAAGAGCCACCACUCAAAGUAUCAGAAAUUCUGACCAACUAUAUGAUCCGGCCCAACGCCGAUCAACGGACCGAGUUACCCCAGGGAUAACAGCGCAAUCCCCUUUUAGAGCCCAUAUCGACAAGGGGUUUACGACCUCGAUGUUGGAUCAGGACAUCCUAAGUGGUGCAGCCGC